Molecule: non-coding RNA, 248 nt
Organism: Pelobates cultripes (western spadefoot toad)
Lineage: Eukaryota; Metazoa; Chordata; Amphibia; Anura; Pelobatidae
Source: the annotation of a GenBank genome assembly
GUAAAUUACUUACAAACUCCCCACACUGAAGGGUUGUGAGUGGAUUGGGGGAGUUUGUAAGUCAUGUAUGACUUUCUAAAAGUUUCUAGGGUUUGAAAUGUUAUUGUUCAGAUUUUCACAAUAUACAUCUCUGCUAUAAUGGAUCUCUUUGAUACUUCUUAUAACUUCAUCAGAAUACAUUCUAAUUUUUCUUUUGAAAGACCAUUCCUAAUACAGUAUGUACCUAGGAAUCAAAUGCUUUGGGAUGG